This is a non-coding RNA of Physcomitrium patens, 3482 nucleotides long. The record is from RefSeq and is a predicted model, not a curated record. Lineage: Eukaryota; Viridiplantae; Streptophyta; Bryopsida; Funariales; Funariaceae.
GGUAUGAUGGGAGAGUAGAGGCGAGGAUGACAGGGUAUGAAGUAUAGGGAGAUGCUUCUCCUUAUCGGUUGUUGUCGUCAUCGUCGUCGCUGCAUGUGUGUGUGUAUGAGAACUCGUGAUGAUCACCUUAUCGACGACUGCAUGCAGGGCUAUUCUUUGUGAGAUCUCUCUCUGUCUUUCUGUCUCUCCCUGUAUCUCUCUGUGUGUGUAUGUGCGUGCAAUUCUUUGUCUCUCUCUCCCUCCCCGCUUCUCAUUCGACGCCCUCUCUUGUACCUUCUCACCUUCUCUUCAUAUUCCGCCGUUUUGUGCUUCUUCGUCCUGCUGUAUCCUCGCUUUCCUUCUUGUACUUGCAUGCUCUUCAUUUCCUUGUGCGGUGCGGCCACCCACCUUCACUCCUCUUUGCAACUCUGACGAAUCAUAUCUAAUCCUCUUGUUUCCCAUUGACAAAGAUCCACUUUUGCACCUUGCGGUACUGCUGUCUAAACCCUUCUUCCUACACCCUGGUUGGAAAUGUGUGCAUUAGUGUUUUGGGAUUGUAGCUAAUUGGACCGAGAAGCAGCGGGAAGUAAUUGGCAUUUGAGUCAUAAUUGGCGUUUGAGUUGUGGUGGUGGUGGAGGUAAGAGGCAUGAGUGUGUGGCAUGGAGAGGCAAACCCCGAUGAUCAGGGUAGGGGGUCAAUCAGGGUAUUUUGGAAGGUGGGUAUGAUGGGGGAGGGGAGAUGGGGAUGGCAGGGUAUGAAGUGUGGGAGGGGGAGAUACUCGUCCUUCCCAGUCAUUGUCGUCAUCGCCAUCGCUGCGUGUGUGUGUGUGUGAGAGAGAACUUUUGAUGAUCGCCCCACUAACGAUUGCAUGCAGGGCUAUUCUUUGUGAGAUCUCUCUUCUUCCAACUGUAUCCUCACGUACACACAUUGUCUUCUGUUUGGCACUGCUUGCCCUCCUUACCCUCCUUUUCUUUGAACCUCCUACCUCUGUUGGAUUAUUCCUUCCUCCUUCGUCCUGCCCCUCUGAGUUGAGGAUUUAUCUCUACGGUGGUCUUGUUCUCGUUCUUCCUGUUGAUCGCCCCCUGGUCGUCCCUCUCCGCUCCCUGCUUCCGACCCCUUCCACCUCUCUCUCUCUCGCCUAUUUUUCCACCGUGGAUGCCGAUUUUGCCAGAUCGGAUUCUUCCCUCCCCUGAUCGUUCUCCUUCUCCUGAUUGACUCAAUUUACUCUAGUCUCAUCUUCUCUAUAUUGCUCGGCCUCUGGUCGUGCCACCUCCGUGUUCAUUACUGCACCCUCUCUAUUUGGGUCAAAGCUUUGUUCUAGCUGUUGGCCGAGUGCGUGUAAUGUUGUGUUGAGUGUUUGGGAAUGAGUAGAAGUAAGGAAAUAGUGUGUAGAUUAUUGUUGAAGGAGGGGACUGGGAUUGUGUAACUUUGUUCUAUUAUGAUUUACAUGAUACGCAAUUUAUAGGAGAAAGCGAGUUCAUCUACUACUUUUCAUGAAAGCGUGAAAGCCCUUGUAAUCUGAGGUUUACGAGGCGCGAGUAAUGUGGAAUUGAAUGGUUAGGGGCAAGGAAAAGCGAGAAAGCAUCUAUGAUCCGAGGUUCAUAGUUUGCUAGUAUUGUUGUGUACUUGUUGGGAAAAUUCAUAUGAACCUGAGAAUCUUCGUAAUUUGAAGUUGGCUGAGUGCAUGUAAUGUUGUGUUGAGUGUUUGGGAAUGAGUAGAAGUAAGGAAAUAGUGUGCGGAUUGAUGUUGAACGAGGGGACUGGGGUUGUGUAACUUUGUUCUAUUAUGAUUUACAUGAUACGCGAUUUAUAGGGGAAAGCGAGUUCAUCUACUACUUUUCAUGGAAGCGUGAAAGCCCUCGUAAUCUGAGGUUUAUGAGGCGCGACUGAUAUGGGAAUGAAUAGUUACGGGCAAGGAAAAGCAAGAAAGCAUCUAUGAUCCGAGGUUCAUUUCAUUGUGGACGAUGGGAAAAAGGCGAAAAUAUGAGAACAAUUUUGGCAGGAAAAUGGAAAAAAAACAAAAAAGUCCCAACGAUGGUUAUGGAAACAAUACGAGCAUGGUAUGGUGUGAAUUUUGUGAAUGUGAGGUCCCGAACAAGAAACCUUGUUUGGAUCAACAUUUUCAACCUGGUUCAAAACAUGAGAGGAAAGAAAAAUUGGCUUUAUUCAAGAGUUUAUUUGAAAAAGAAGGAUUGGAUUACUUUCCAGGCGGUACUACAUAUUAUUGCCAAAAAUGUAAGAUGCAGCUGCCUAAUGUUGUAGGUAUAUUCAAAACAGGCCAGAAUAUUAUCAUUUAUCUGAAGAACUUGCGAAAUAUACUUGUCAUAUUUUAAGGAGGUCGUAUGAAAGUUUAUUUCAACACUUGGAUAAUAUUGUGAUUGCUGAAGGCUUUUCAAAUAGUGGUGCUUGUAUUGGUAAUGGACCAUUUACAUCAUUUGCUAUCACGAGGGACUUCAAUUGUAGGCCUCAUCGUGAUGAAGAUGAUUAUGAUUUUGGAUUCAUAAUAUGGCUACGCGAAGAUCCAUCGGAACAAAAUGAACCGGCCAUAUUUGCUUUCCCAGAAGCAUCGAUUAUGUUUGUACCCAAACAUGGGGAUGUUUGUGUUUUCAGGCCAAGUGAACUUUUACAUUGUACACGGCGCCUUCAAGGAAAGGGCUUACUGGGUCUUGCAUUUUUUCAAAAAUGCUCACUUUACAGACAACUCGGGCGAUUAAUUCACCCCGACGGGCCCGGUAUAAUAGACUACAAAGAUAAGAAUGGGAAUGUUCGUGUUGUUGAAACCCGAGAAGGAUUCCUUGAAAAGAAACGUUUUUACGAACGACACUUGUUGGAAAAUCAGUUCUCCAUCAAAGAAUUCAUGGGCAAAAAAGAAGACAAACAAGUAUCUCCUGCCACUGAUCGGGAGUAGUCUUGUAGCAGUGGAGAUGGAUAUAUUGAUGGAUAUAUCAACAUUUGUGGUGGAUUUUGAUGAUAUUAUUUUUGGAAUUACUUUUAAUAUUGUGCUUAAGUAACUUAGGAGCUUGAAGGAGAGGGACGUUACAUCGCUUCGCAUGUUCCUUGUUAGGUCAACUCUUGUCUACUCCACCACCUGCAUAACAUUCCCUAAACCUGGUACAUUGCAUAAAGGAAUCGGCCAACGUAAUGACAGGGACGGAGCGGUGGGACGGAGCGUGCUGGUCCACAGGCCGUUGAGGUUGCGGGGUUGAAGUUCGAGCAAGUUCGAGCAUCGGAGUGGUAAGGGCUGCAAUCAUGGUCCUCCUUGCGAGUGGCAGGUUUACAAGGCUUGUCUCCUAAACCUCCAUGGUUGGCGCGGGUUCUUUCUCCAGCACUCUUGGUGGCAGCCAUGGUGUUGGUCGUGUAUAUUGCAAAGGUCGACAAGGCGACUACUACGUCAUGGUCAUGGAUAUGCUCGGACCAAGUCUCCGGGAUGUCUAGAACUCUUCGGGGUCAAGCGCAAGUAUUUAGGGCAGCUCGUUCUGAUUGAGCAGGUAUGCACAUGGAGA